This 324-nucleotide ribosomal RNA is filed under the name uncultured eukaryote. Its description in RNAcentral is "partial 18S ribosomal RNA". It matches the Rfam family "Eukaryotic small subunit ribosomal RNA", at positions 1470 to 1796 of the family's 1831-position model. The record is from RNAcentral.
CCCUUAGAUGUUCUGGGCGGCCCGCGCACUACAAUGGCGCUUUCAGCGAGUUCCUAUGUUGAAUUUUCCUGGGUAUUCUUGGAAGCGGCGUCUUGACUUGGGAUAGAUCCUUGUAAUUGUUGGUUUUGAACGAGGAAUUCCUUGUAAUCGCGGUUGAUCAGCUCGCGUUGAAUACGUCCCUGCCCUUUGUACACACCGCCCGUCGCACCUACCGAUUGGAUGGUCCGGUGAAGCCUCGGGAUUGUGGUUCUUGCCGCUUUAUUGUGGCGUGACCGCGAGAACUUGUCUAAACCUUAUCAUCUAGAGGAAGGUGAAGUCGUAACA